UCAAAAAAUAUGGCCUUUUAUUGUCUUGGAUGCAAAUAUAGUUUUCAAACUGCAUUGUAGUGUUGAAUACAGCUGGUGGAAAGGUGCUUCUCAACAGCGGAGCAUAAACGGCCUUGCUCUGAAUGGCGCAGGCCUGAGGCUUGGGGCCUCCGGUGAGCAAGACUCUUCUUGGGUUUUGUUUUUCUGCCCACGAGGGGUGACUGUUUGCUACAGAAGCCCUGACACAGUCACCGGAGCUCACAAGAGAAAAAAAUGAACCAUUUACACAAUGAACUGAAAGCAGAAAAAGGAAAAGAACGUGCUGUUUCAGCUGUGGCGUUACAGAAGAAGCCCACAAACACGAGUGUGAACAGAUUCAGAUAAAGCAGCAGCAAGGGCGCCGAGGGAGGGGCCUCGUGCCAGUUCCCUCGGGGACACACAGCCUCGGCUCCAUGUCUCCUACCUUUUAACUGCAGGAAGGAAACUUUAUGGAAAUGUAUCGAACUUCAGUUUCUCCCAACCCUCUCCACCACCUCAACUCUUGAGGAUGGCACCUCUCUGUUCACAUACCCAGGAGAGAAUUCUUCCAAUUAGCGACACCCAGGGUUGACUCUGGAACCAAAAGGUUGACUGGGAGAUAAAAGCGAAUUUUGCUACAUAAUUGUCAAGGUAUUUCACAAAAAUAAAAUCCAUUAAAAACACCCACAAACACGCACACACACACACACACACAGAGCCAACAUUCAACAGGAAAAGUUCCCUUUUCUUUCUCAAAGGCUGAUUUUUACAAGCCUCGACAGGAACGGCCCCCACGUGGUGAGCUGGGAAAGCCAAGGCCUCAGAAGGGAAAGACAAUGGGGCAGGUGAUGGAGGGGAUGUGGUGAAAAUCUUUAAUAUACAAGGCAUCAGGGACAUCGAGCCAAAAACCAUGGCCCACCACUGCUGCGCACCCACCUCAGGGCUCGCCAGCUCCCUUCCUCGUUGUCAAGGCCACUGCAGAGGAAGCACUUUGCAAAGUGGCUCCGACAAGCAGCAGACCGGGCGGGUUUCACCUGCAGCAAAUCAAUCAGCGGAAGCAAGGCAUCUCUAGGGAAAGGCAAUUCCUCCACCAGAGAGAGGAGAGCAGCUAUACUCAGCUUAGUUAGGGGCCUGGGGCCGUGAGAGAGACAGAAGACGCAGGCAGAGCUAGAUGACCAUGGGAGGGGAAGAGCAUAGGGGUGCUAUGCCAAGGCUGCC
This 1215-nucleotide long non-coding RNA is filed under the name Sus scrofa (pig). RNAcentral describes it as "lncRNA (ENSSSCG00045037707.1)". Lineage: Eukaryota; Metazoa; Chordata; Mammalia; Artiodactyla; Suidae. The record is from RNAcentral.